RNAcentral lists this ribosomal RNA (457 nucleotides) under uncultured bacterium. Its description in RNAcentral is "bacterial SSU rRNA". It matches the Rfam family "Bacterial small subunit ribosomal RNA", at positions 28 to 507 of the family's 1533-position model. The record is from RNAcentral.
GAUGAACGCUGGCGGUAUGCCUAACACAUGCAAGUCGUACGAGAGUUUUUAACUCUAGCGGCGGACGGGUGAGUAACACGUGAGCAAUCUGCCUUUUGCUGGGGAAUAACAUUGUGAAAACAGUGCUAAUACCGCAUGACAUCCGACCGGGGCAUCCCGGACGGAUCAAAGGAGAAAUCCGGCAGAAGAUGAGCUCGCGUCCGAUUAGCUAGUUGGUGAGGUAACGGCUCAUCAAGGCGAUGAUCGGUAGCCGAACUGAGAGGUUGAUCGGCCACAUUGGGACUGAGACACGGCCCAGACUCCUACGGGAGGCAGCAGUGGGGAAUAUUGGGCAAGUGGGGGAAACCCUGACCCAGCAACGCCGCGUGAAGGAUGAAGGCUUUCGGGUUGUAAACUUCUUUGAUCAGGGACGAAAAAAAUGACGGUACCUGAAAAACAAGCCACGGCUAACUACGUG